Long non-coding RNA from Vombatus ursinus (common wombat), 249 nucleotides. RefSeq lists it as uncharacterized. The transcript has 3 exons. NCBI's taxonomy places the organism in Eukaryota, Metazoa, Chordata, Mammalia, Diprotodontia, Vombatidae. The record is from RefSeq and is a predicted model, not a curated record.
UGCCCAACAAUUCACUCAGGACUAGCUUGGGAGACACUGAAAGCCUGGCUGCUGAUUUGGUUUUCUCUCCCUGGCACCAACAUCAGAGAACUCGCCCCAGUUCUGACAAAGCUCUUUGAUGAAAGAUACCACGGCUGAUGAUGGAGUCGGCAGCAGUUGAGGAGGGAGAAGAAAUGAGAGAGAAAUCGCCAUCCCGUUCUUUGGUAUACUUGGGGCUAAGUGACUUGUCCAGGGUCACACAGCUAGCAC